Molecule: long non-coding RNA, 1114 nt
Organism: Coturnix japonica (Japanese quail)
Lineage: Eukaryota; Metazoa; Chordata; Aves; Galliformes; Phasianidae
Source: RefSeq, a predicted model, not a curated record
UCUGGCCAGGGAGAAAGAUUGGUCAGCUACAUCCAACAGCAGAAGUUACUCUGCCACUGUCCCAGACUUUUGAGCUCAUUUAGCACCUCCUGACAUAUAGCCCUAGCACCAUCCCAGUUUUCAAUAUAAAUACAACCUCAAUGCCUGUGCAUGGAGAGGGAACUUGGUGUUUCAUUCUCAGAACAAAGUCACAUGGACACAUUUAAACAGCUUUGAUGUGAGACUUACUGGACAAUGCUUCAACUCACAGGACACCCUUUUCUUUGGGAUACCUUGUGUACUGGAAAUGCUAAUUCAGGGUCAGAACCAGUGACUGAGCACCUGGUGGGAAGGCAGAGCCAACCCAAUGGAGCUCAGGUGCAAGCAAUACAGCUGAGUAACUGGAAGGGGUGGAGCCAUCAUCCACCCCUUCCCAGACCUCAUUUAAGGGUUGGCAGUGGAGGUGAGGACAUCUCUCUGAAGAUCUCUAUGUACCUGAGGCCUUCUAAAGGCAGGAAAGAAGCAUUGGAACUGCUCGAUGCCCACUGUGAGCUUUCAGCUCUCUCAUGCAGCAACCACAUCCUGAGCCCAAAGGUGAACGCAGACUUCUGUAGCCAAACCCAAGGAAAGUGGUGGCUUUUUCAAUGAAGCUGGCUCUAACCCACAGGCUGCAAGGCCCGGGGCCCACACUGAGGCAGGCACCAUUUUCUGUUGCCCCUCCAGCAGGCUUACCAGCAACAGAACCACACUCAGCAUUCACACCCGUCAGAUGCUGCUUUCAGAAGAACACUGAAUUAUUCCAGCUUCUACAGGACUCAGCCUCUGCUCUAGGGCUCUAGCAUCAAGCAAGUAUUUAUGUGAGAAGCCAGGAUUAUGUCUAGAGGCAUCCCUGAUGUGAAACCCACAGCACAGCAGGUUCUGAAAGGCCUUAUUUAUCAGGGCUGAAUUGUCAACUUUCAAGUUACAGAGCCACGAAUGCUCCUUCUUGGAAGACAGAGGAGAGGAAGGGAGAGCAGGCAAAGCCUGGGGUUAGCAGUCUGCUCAGCUCAAACACCUCAGCCCGGAGCUGCAAUACAGUUACCUCCAUUUUAGCAUUUGUCCAUCGAGGUACUUCCACAACCAUGUUGAACACGUU